GAGCAGUUGGCUAGUGCUAGAGUUGCUCCUGGCUCAGUAACGUCUGCCUCAAGGGAUCCGAAGAGUCUAGCGGCGGACGGGUGAGUAAUGCAUAGGAAUCUGCCCGGUAGUGGGGGAUAACUUGGGGAAACUCAAGCUAAUACCGCAUACGCCCCAAGGGGGAAAGCAGGGGAUCUUCGGACCUUGCGCUAUCGGAUGAGCCUAUGUCGGAUUAGUUAGUUGGUGAGGUAAUGGCUCACCAAGACCGCGAUCCGUAGCUGGUCUGAGAGGAUGAUCAGCCACACUGGGACUGAGACACGGCCCAGACUCCUACGGGAGGCAGCAGUGGGGAAUAUUGGACAAUGGGCGAAAGCCUGAUCCAGCCAUGCCGCGUGUGUGAAGAAGGCCUUCGGGUUGUAAAGCACUUUCAGCGAGGAAGAAGGCCUGACGGUUAAUACCUGUCAGGAAGGACAUCACUCGCAGAAGAAGCACCGGCUAACUCCGUGCCAGCAGCCGCGGUAAUACGGAGGGUGCAAGCGUUAAUCGGAAUUACUGGGCGUAAAGCGCGCGUAGGUGGCUUGAUAAGCCGGUUGUGAAAGCCCCGGGCUCAACCUGGGAACUGCAUCCGGAACUGUCAGGCUAGAGUGCAGGAGAGGAAGGUAGAAUUCCCGGUGUAGCGGUGAAAUGCGUAGAGAUCGGGAGGAAUACCAGUGGCGAAGGCGGCCUUCUGGACUGACACUGACACUGAGGUGCGAAAGCGUGGGUAGCAAACAGGAUUAGAUACCCUGGUAGUCCACGCCGUAAACGAUGUCGACUAGCCGUUGGGAGCCUCGAGUUCUUAGUGGCGCAGUUAACGCAAUAAGUCGACCGCCUGGGGAGUACGGCCGCAAGGUUAAAACUCAAAUGAAUUGACGGGGGCCCGCACAAGCGGUGGAGCAUGUGGUUUAAUUCGAUGCAACGCGAAGAACCUUACCUACUCUUGACAUCGUGCGAACUUUCCAGAGAUGGAUUGGUGCCUUCGGGAACGCACAGACAGGUGCUGCAUGGCUGUCGUCAGCUCGUGUUGUGAAAUGUUGGGUUAAGUCCCGUAACGAGGGCAACCCUAUCCUUAUUUGCCAGCGAGUAAUGUCGGGAACUCUAAGGAGACUGCCGGUGACAACCGGAGGAAGGGGGGGAUGACGUCAAGUCAUCUGGCCCUUACAAUAGGGCUACACCGGGCUACAUGGCAGGUCCAAGGGUCCAAAAGGGGACUGGAAUUAUCCCUAAAACCUGCCCACCCGGAUCGAAUUGCACCCACCCCGGAAGCGAAUCCUU
RNAcentral lists this ribosomal RNA (1293 nucleotides) under Halomonas sp. Its description in RNAcentral is "bacterial SSU rRNA". It matches the Rfam family "Bacterial small subunit ribosomal RNA", at positions 1 to 1325 of the family's 1533-position model. Lineage: Bacteria; Pseudomonadati; Pseudomonadota; Gammaproteobacteria; Oceanospirillales; Halomonadaceae. The record is from RNAcentral.